CCUACGGGAGGCAGCAGUGGGGGAUAUUGCACAAUGGGGGCAACCCUGAUGCAGCGACGCCGCGUGAGCGAUGGAGUACUUCGGUAUGUAAAGCUCUGUCAGCAGGGAAGAGAAUGACGGUACCUGACCAAGAAGCCCCGGCUAACUACGUGCCAGCAGCCGCGGUAAUACGUAGGGGGCAAGCGUUAUCCGGAUUUACUGGGUGUAAAGGGUGCGUAGGUGGCAGGGCAAGUCAGAUGUGAAAGCCCGGGGCCCAACCCCGGUACUGCAUUUGAAACUGUCCGGCUGGAGUGCAGGAGAGGUAA
RNAcentral lists this ribosomal RNA (305 nucleotides) under uncultured bacterium. RNAcentral's name for it is "bacterial SSU rRNA". It matches the Rfam family "Bacterial small subunit ribosomal RNA", at positions 338 to 660 of the family's 1533-position model. The record is from RNAcentral.